GACGAACGCUGGCGGCGUGCUUAACACAUGCAAGUCGAACGGUAAGGCCCUUCGGGGUACACGAGCGGCGAACGGGUGAGUAACACGUGGGUGAUCUGCCCUGCACUUCGGGAUAAGCCUGGGAAACUGGGUCUAAUACCGGAUAGGACUCCGGACUGCAUGGUCUGGGGUGGAAAGCUUUUGCGGUGUGGGAUGGGCCCGCGGCCUAUCAGCUUGUUGGUGGGGUGAUGGCCUACCAAGGCGACGACGGGUAGCCGGCCUGAGAGGGUGACCGGCCACACUGGGACUGAGAUACGGCCCAGACUCCUACGGGAGGCAGCAGUGGGGAAUAUUGCACAAUGGGCGCAAGCCUGAUGCAGCGACGCCACGUGAGGGAUGACGGCCUUCGGGUUGUAAACCUCUUUCAGCACCGACGAAGCGCAAGUGACGGUAGGUGCAGAAGAAGGACCGGCCAACUACGUGCCAGCCGCCGCUGUAA
This 478-nucleotide ribosomal RNA is filed under the name uncultured bacterium. Its description in RNAcentral is "partial 16S ribosomal RNA". It matches the Rfam family "Bacterial small subunit ribosomal RNA", at positions 28 to 523 of the family's 1533-position model. The record is from RNAcentral.